CCUGCCAGUAGCAUAUGCUUGUCUCAAAGAUUAAACCAUGCAUGUGUAAGUACCCACGGCCACUACAGUGAAACUGCAAAUGGAUCAUUAAAUCAGUUAUGGUUCCUUUGAUCGCUCCAUCUGUUACUUGGAUAACUGUGGUAAUUCUAGAGCUAAUACAUGCCGACGAGCGCUGACCCCCAGGGAUGCAUGCAUUUAUCAGACCAAAACCCAUCUGGG
Molecule: non-coding RNA, 219 nt
Organism: Pelobates cultripes (western spadefoot toad)
Lineage: Eukaryota; Metazoa; Chordata; Amphibia; Anura; Pelobatidae
Source: the annotation of a GenBank genome assembly